GACGACGACGAUGAUAACAACGACAAUGAUGUGGCGAAAGAGGAGUAGAGCUCGAAGAUGAGGAGUAGAGCUAAAAGCAUCUGAUCGAGGUUUUUUCAAGGUCUUGAACAAUCCGAAAAAAGAAAAAAUCAAUAGAAGCACGAUUUUAGAACAAGAAAUUGAAGGUGAAAUAUUGAAAAUUGUAGAUUAAAGAUGAAUAAUAUAGUUGGACCUGAGACUGAGCUUCAAUGGAAGCUCCUCUUGCUCCAACACCAGAGAAAACACCAGCGAGAAAGGAGAAAAUAAAUAUGAUUUGAUUUUUUGGCAGAUUUGGUUUUUUUUGGCAGAUUUGGUUUUUUGGCAGACAUGGAAAUAUUUGGUUUUAUGGCAGAUCUGGGCAGAUCUGAUUUUCCUCUCUUAAAUCCAUAGUACAAGGACAAUAUAGGUAUUUAACACACACAAAUAAACUAAAAAACAACUAUUAAAUUAAAAAAAAUUGAUAGCUGUCAAUUUUUGGAUUUUUUUUGGGUGUGUUUAUAGUUUUUAAACGGUGUAGGGUUUCUUUAUAAAACCAUGUCUAAGAUUGGGUAUAUAACUAAAUUUCUAUU
RNAcentral lists this long non-coding RNA (587 nucleotides) under Prunus persica (peach). RNAcentral describes it as "long non-coding RNA (PPER_LNC008281)". The record is from RNAcentral. Lineage: Eukaryota; Viridiplantae; Streptophyta; Magnoliopsida; Rosales; Rosaceae.